GAGUUUGAUCGUGGCUCAGGAUGAACGCUGGCGGCGUGCUUAACACAUGCAAGUCGAGCGAAGCGCCUAAGAAAGAUUCUUCGGAUGAAUUCUUUUGCGACUGAGCGGCGGACAGGUGAGUAACGCGUGGGUAACCUGCCUCAUACAGGGGGAUAACAGUUAGAAAUGACUGCUAAUACCGCAUAAGACCACGGUACUGCAUGGUACAGCGGUAAAAACUCCGGUGGUAUGAGAUGGACCCGCGUCUGAUUAGCUAGUUGGUGGGUAACGGCCUACCAAGGCGACGAUCAGUAGCCGACCUGAGAGGGUGACCGGCCACAUUGGGACUGAGACACGGCCCAAACUCCUACGGGAGGCAGCAGUGGGGAAUAUUGCACAAGUGGGGGAAACCCUGAUGCAGCGACGCCGCGUGAGCG
RNAcentral lists this ribosomal RNA (416 nucleotides) under uncultured bacterium. RNAcentral's name for it is "bacterial SSU rRNA". It matches the Rfam family "Bacterial small subunit ribosomal RNA", at positions 9 to 407 of the family's 1533-position model. The record is from RNAcentral.